GAUUCCCUUAGUAACGGCGAGCGAAAAGGGAAUGGUCCAGCGCCAAGUCUUGACAUUUAGGUGUUCAAGAGAUGCGGCGUUAAUGUGUUGGCGCAUCGUACGUUGUUCCAUGUUUCAAGUUCCCUUGACUGGGACAUCCAKAGUGGGUGCCAGGCCCAUAGAGACAAGGAGCUGACGGACGCAGGCCGAUGCAUUCUAGAGUCAGGUUGCUUGAGAGUGCAGCUUAAAGUCGGUGGUAAACUCCAUCCAAGACUAAAUAUGACAGCGAGACCGAUAGCAAACAAGUACCGUGAGGGAAAGUUGCAAAGCACUUUGAAGAGAGAGUUCAACAGUACGUGAAACCACUGGGAGGCAAACAGAUGGAACCACGAAGUAUGCGCCUCGGUCGAUUCAAUCAACGCCAUUGGUUAGUGGUGCUUAGCCGGGAUCUUUUCGGAGAUUGGCUGAGUGUCAUUCSGACUGRUGACGUUGGUGCAUUUCGUGCCGGGGAUGCUAAGCCACGUUCGACUAGCUGGUUGGGACGGCCGUAGGACAGGGUUCGAGAAAGGUGCCCGUCAAGUGUUUUGCAUUUGGCGGCGUUAUAGUCUCGAACCGGCACCGUCGCCUAACAUACUGGUCGAUGUAAUUGCUCCGAUCGGAGUUGAACUGCGUUUGCCUCGGGUUGUUAGUYUUGGUUUAGAAGCGUUCUUUGCGUAUCUUUGGRUGCGAAAAGCCGUUUCGACAAUCAAGGCUAGCAGCUGGUUGCGUAACGUGGUGGAACUGUGGCGCGAGUAGGUCGGUGUCCAUCUGACCCGUCUUGAAACACGGACCAAGGAGCCUAUCAUAUACGCGAGUCGCUCGGUCUUGUUUAGGCCUGGGAGGCGAAAUGAAAGUAAAGUUACGAGGCCUUCGGGUCGCAGUAACGGCCCGCCUACUCCGUUUAUUGGCGGUCGGGCGGAGCUGGAGCGUAUACGAUGGUACCCGAAAGAUGGUGAACUAUGCCUGGGCAAGACGAAGCCAGAGGAAACUCUGGUGGAGGUCUGUAGCGAUUCUGACGUGCAAAUCGAUCGUCAGACCUGGGUAUAGGGGCGAAAGACUAAUCGAACCAUCUAGUAGCUGGUUCCCUCCGAAGUUUCCCUCAGGAUAGCAGGCGCUUGWUUGGAUAGUCUCAUCCGGUAAAGCUAAUGAUUAGAGGUCUUGGGGUUGAAACGACCUCAACCUAUUCUCAAACUUUAAAUGGGUGAGAUGGUCGACUUUCUUGAUUGAAGCCGACCAUUCGGAUAGAAGUGCCUAGUGGGCCAUUUUUGGUAAGCAGAACUGGCGCUGUGGGAUGAACCAAACGUCGAGAUAAGGCAUCAAAUGCAUACGCUCAUCAGACCCCAUAAAAGGUGUUGGUUGCUAUAGACAGCAGGACGGUGGCCAUGGAAGUCSGAAUCC
RNAcentral lists this ribosomal RNA (1416 nucleotides) under Picalgoides picimajoris. RNAcentral's name for it is "eukaryotic LSU rRNA". It matches the Rfam family "Eukaryotic large subunit ribosomal RNA", at positions 73 to 1269 of the family's 3401-position model. The record is from RNAcentral. Lineage: Eukaryota; Metazoa; Arthropoda; Arachnida; Sarcoptiformes; Psoroptoididae.